This 492-nucleotide ribosomal RNA is filed under the name uncultured bacterium. RNAcentral's name for it is "partial 16S ribosomal RNA". It matches the Rfam family "Bacterial small subunit ribosomal RNA", at positions 29 to 507 of the family's 1533-position model. The record is from RNAcentral.
AGUGAACGCUGGCGGUAGGCCUAACACAUGCAGGUCGAACGGCAGCACAGUAAGAGCUUGCUCUUACGGGUGGCGAGUGGCGGACGGGUGAGGAAUACAUCGGAAUCUACUUUUUCGUGGGGGAUAACGUAGGGAAACUUACGCUAAUACCGCAUACGACCUACGGGUGAAAGCAGGGGAUCUUCGGACCUUGCGCGAUUGAAUGAGCCGAUGUCGGAUUAGCUAGUUGGCGGGGUAAAGGCCCACCAAGGCGACGAUCCGUAGCUGGUCUGAGAGGAUGAUCAGCCACACUGGAACUGAGACACGGUCCAGACUCCUACGGGAGGCAGCAGUGGGAAAUAUUGGACAAUGGGCGCAAGCCUGAUCCAGCCAUACCGCGUGGGUGAAGAAGGCCUUCGGGUUGUAAAGCCCUUUUGUUGGGAAAGAAAAGCAGCAGGUUAAUACCCCGCUGUUCUGACGGUACCCAAAGAAUAAGCACCGGCUAACUUCGUG